GACGAACGCUGGCGGCGUGCUUAACACAUGCAAGUCGAACGAAAAGAGGGAAAGAGCUUGCUCUUUCCGGAAUUGAGUGGCAAACGGGUGAGUAACACGUAAACAACCUGCCUUCAGGAUGGGGACAACAGACGGAAACGACUGCUAAUACCGAAUAAGUUCCAAGGGCCGCAUGGCCCAUGGAAGAAAAGGUGGCCUCUACCUGUCAGCUAUCGCCUGAAGAGGGGUUUGCGUCUGAUUAGCUGGUUGGAGGGGUAACGGCCCACCAAGGCGACGAUCAGUAGCCGGUCUGAGAGGAUGAACGGCCACACUGGGACUGAGACACGGUCCAGACUCCUACGGGAGGCAGCAGUGGGGAAUCUUCCGCAAUGGGCGAAAGCCUGACGGAGCAACGCCGCGUGAGUGAUGACGGCCUUCGGGUUGUAAAACUCUGUGAUCCGGGACGAAAAGGCAGAGUGCGAAGAACAAACUGCAUUGACGGUACCGGAAAAGCAAGCCACGGCUAACUACGUG
This 513-nucleotide ribosomal RNA is filed under the name uncultured bacterium. Its description in RNAcentral is "partial 16S ribosomal RNA". It matches the Rfam family "Bacterial small subunit ribosomal RNA", at positions 28 to 507 of the family's 1533-position model. The record is from RNAcentral.